AUCUUUCCCAGCAUCAGGGUCUUUUCCAAUGAGUCAGCUCUUUACAUCAUCAGGUGGCCAAAAUAAUAGCAUUGUAAAAGCAUAAUUAGCAUACAAUUUGAAGAUGUAGCCUUGAGCAGAAAUGACUAUAAGGUCAGUUUUACUGACUAGUCACCUUGGUCUAAUUUCUCUAAAAUGAUCACAAAGUCCACCAUCAGCACCACAGCCUCACACACAGUGGGAUUAUGCUUAUUUUGAAGAUACUAUAAAAAUCAUACCUAUCAUGAUACCAGAAAAACGAAAUGUGACAGAUUCCUGAUGUCUUCUAAGGCCUGGAGCUGCUACUUAUUUCAGUUUAACAACACUGAUCUCUCUAGGGCACUAGAGUGCAUCAGAAAAGCCUGGAAUCACGCCUAGGCAGAGCAGAAAUGAUUAUUAAUGCAUGGCCAACUUUUAACUGGAGUGUUCUAAGUAUGACUAGUUGGUAUUUGAAAUCAUGGCUAGAGAUGAGAAUUAGUAAGAAUCAGUUGCAUCAGAACUUUGGUUUCUUUGGAUCACAUCCAUUUCCCACCUUUAUAACCCAUCCAUACCCUACCCUCACAGUCACUGUAGUCAGUAGAAUGAAAUUGGGAAGUCAAGCUUUUCUUAAUGAACAGACAAUAGACUGCUGUGUUUGGGUGCACUGACUCUAGAAUGACAUCAUCUAGCUCAAAUCUACAUCUGCCGCUUGUUGUGCCUUGGAUGAGUUUGUUUCUCUCUCCGUGCCUGCCCUGUACCCAUGUAAGAACUCCAUAUUUUGUCUAAGAAUGAACUCAAUGCAUAUAAAGCAUCUAAAAUAGUAUCUGACAUACAGUAAGUAUGCUUUAUAUGAGUGCUAGUAUUAUUAUAUUAUUACUACUAAUAUUACUUUUGUUAGUUAUAAAAAAGAUAAUGCUCAAGGAAUUGUUUUUUAAAAUAUUUUAUUCCUUUGGUAGAUCAUGAUAUUAAUUUAAUUUUCUUGAUUUGCAUAAAAUCUGAUAUAUAAUACUAAAAAUU
Molecule: long non-coding RNA, 1014 nt
Filed under: Capra hircus (goat)
Lineage: Eukaryota; Metazoa; Chordata; Mammalia; Artiodactyla; Bovidae
Description: lncRNA (ENSCHIG00010010047.1)
Source: RNAcentral